GGUUUUUAGAUUUUAUUAAAAAUCAAGCCUGCUCAAUGCUAAGUAAAUAGCCGCAGAAUUUUAACUGUGCAAAGGUAGCAUAAUCACUUGUCUUUUAAUUGAGGACUAGAAUGAAAGGUUUAACUAUGUAAUUUUGUCUUAUAGUAAUAUUUUGAACUUAAUUUUUUAGUAAAAAAGCUAAAAUUCAUCUUAAAGACGAGAAGACCCUAUUAAGCUUUACAAUUUAAUAUUAUUUUCAAAUUAAUUAAAAAAUUGUUCUGCUGGGGCAGCAAAUAAAAAAUAUUGUUUACAUAUUGUGAUAAAUAAAUCUAGAAAAAUCAAUAAUUUAUUAAAAAAUAAUAAGUUACUAUAGGGAUAACAGCAUAAUUUUUUUAAAGAGUUCUCAUCAACAAAAAAGUUUGUGACCUCGAUGUUGGAUUAAGAAUCCUAUUUUACGCAGUAGUAAAAAAAGGAAGUCUGUUCGACUUUUAAAUUCUUCCA
Molecule: ribosomal RNA, 480 nt
Filed under: Paruroctonus becki
Lineage: Eukaryota; Metazoa; Arthropoda; Arachnida; Scorpiones; Vaejovidae
Description: partial 16S ribosomal RNA
Rfam family: Bacterial large subunit ribosomal RNA
Source: RNAcentral